Molecule: ribosomal RNA, 293 nt
Filed under: uncultured bacterium
Lineage: Bacteria
Description: partial 16S ribosomal RNA
Rfam family: Bacterial small subunit ribosomal RNA
Source: RNAcentral
GGAUUAGAUACCCUGGUAGUCCACGCCGUAAACGAUGACAACUAGCUGUUGGGAGACAAGAUCUCUCAGUGGCGCAGCUAACGCUUUAAGUUGUCCGCCUGGGGAGUACGGCCGCAAGGUUAAAACUCAAAUGAAUUGACGGGGACCCGCACAAGCGGUGGAGCAUGUGGUUUAAUUCGAUGCAACGCGAAAAACCUUACCUACUCUUGACAUCCUGUGCUACAUCCAGAGAUGGAUGGUUCCCUUCGGGGACGCAGUGACAGGUGCUGCAUGGCUGUCGUCAGCUCGUGCCG